CGUCAGGUAGCUCAGUGGUUAUAGCAGUCGCUCGGCAAGAGAAAGAUCCGGAUUCGAUUCCCGGUUUAGCGA
Molecule: transfer RNA, 72 nt
Filed under: Harpegnathos saltator (Jerdon's jumping ant)
Lineage: Eukaryota; Metazoa; Arthropoda; Insecta; Hymenoptera; Formicidae
Rfam family: tRNA
About the family: Transfer RNA (tRNA) molecules are approximately 80 nucleotides in length.
Source: Rfam by way of RNAcentral